UGCGSAAGGAUCAUUACCGAGUGCGGGCUGCCUCCGGGCGCCCAACCUCCCACCCGUGACUACCUAACACUGUUGCUUCGGCGGGGAGCCCCCCAGGGGCGAGCCGCCGGGGACCACUGAACUUCAUGCCUGAGAGUGAUGCAGUCUGAGCCUGAAUACAAAUCAGUCAAAACUUUCAACAAUGGAUCUCUUGGUUCCGGCAUCGAUGAAGAACGCAGCGAACUGCGAUAAGUAAUGUGAAUUGCAGAAUUCAGUGAAUCAUCGAGUCUUUGAACGCACAUUGCGCCCCCUGGCAUUCCGGGGGGCAUGCCUGUCCGAGCGUCAUUGCUGCCCUCAAGCCCGGCUUGUGUGUUGGGUCGUCGUCCCCCCCGGGGGACGGGCCCGAAAGGCAGCGGCGGCACCGUGUCCGGUCCUCGAGCGUAUGGGGCUUUGUCACCCGCUCGAUUAGGGCCGGCCGGGCGCCAGCCGGCGUCUCCAACCUUAUUUUUCUCAGGUUGACCUCGGAUCAGGUAGGGAUACCCGCUGAACUUAAGCAUAUCAAUAAGCGGAGGA
This 552-nucleotide unclassified non-coding RNA is filed under the name Aspergillus sp. FLN2b. RNAcentral describes it as "Emericella sp. FLN2b sequence contains 18S rRNA gene, ITS1, 5.8S rRNA gene, ITS2 and 28S rRNA gene". The stretch from base 171 to 324 matches the Rfam family "5.8S ribosomal RNA". Lineage: Eukaryota; Fungi; Ascomycota; Eurotiomycetes; Eurotiales; Aspergillaceae. The record is from RNAcentral.